Molecule: ribosomal RNA, 917 nt
Filed under: uncultured archaeon
Lineage: Archaea
Description: SSU rRNA
Rfam family: Archaeal small subunit ribosomal RNA
Source: RNAcentral
UUUCCGGUUGAUCCUGCCGGACCUGACUGCUAUCGGAUUGAUACUAAGCCAUGCGAGUCUUUGCAGUAAUGCAAGGCAUACGGCUCAGUAACACGUAGUCAACCUGCCCUAUGGACGAGAAUAAUCUCGGGAAACUGAGCAUAAUUCUUGAUAGAUCAUAAUGCCUGGAAUGGUUUAUGGUUAAAAUGAUUCGUCGCCAUAGGAUGGGACUGCGGCCUAUCAGCUUGUUGGUGAGGUAAUGGCCCACCAAGGCGAUUACAGGUACGGGCUCUGAGAGGAGAAGCCCGGAGAUGGGUACUGAGACACGGACCCAGGCCCUAUGGGGCGCAGCAGGCGAGAAAACUUUGCAAUGUGCGAAAGCACGACAAGGUUAAUCCGAGUGAUUUCUGCUAAAGAAAUCUUUUGCCAGUCGUAAAACCGCUGGUGAAUAAGGGGUGGGCAAGUUCUGGUGUCAGCCGCCGCGGUAAAACCAGCACCUCAAGUGGUCAGGAUGAUUAUUGGGCCUAAAGCAUCCGUAGCCGGCUUUGUAAGUUUUCGGUUAAAUCCAUGUGCUCAACACAUGGGCUGCCGAAAAUACUGCAUAGCUAGGGAGUGGGAGAGGUAGACGGUACUCAGUAGGUAGGGGUAAAAUCCUUUGAUCUAUUGAUGACCACCUGUGGCGAAGGCGGUCUACCAGAACACGUUCGACGGUGAGGGAUGAAAGCUGGGGGAGCAAACCGGAUUAGAUACCCGGGUAGUCCCAGCUGUAAACGGUGCAGACUAGAUGAUGCAUUGGCAUAAUAGCCAUUGCAGUGUCUCAGGGAAGCCGUUAAGUCUGCCGCCUGGGAAGUACGUACGCAAGUAUGAAACUUAAAGGAAUUGGCGGGGGAGCACCACAAGGGGUGAAGCCUGCGGUUCAAUUGGAGUCAACGCCGGGA